AACCAAGUAUAUCCUCAUUCAUAACUUGGUAUCAAAAUUUCUAAGUACUACAAUGGCUUUUUAUCGCACAAACCUUCCCACUCGUGGACUAUUCUCCCUUGUUUCAGUCGUCAUUGUUUUGCUAGCCACAAAUAUAAACUCAGUUCAAGCACUGUCCUUCAAUUUCACCAAGUUCACCCAUGGUAAUUCUGCUAUCACCCUCCAAGGGGAUGCACAAAUUUUAGCCAAUGGUUUCUUGGCACUGACCAACAGUACAACACUUCCUCCAACUGUAACUUUCCCAACUACCGGUCGUGCCUUAUAUACAACACCCUUAACCCUUUGGGACGAUGCAACUGGCAAUGUUGCCAGUUUUGUCACUUCCUUUUCUUUUGUCGUACAGUCCCCGGCAGGACGUGCUCCAACUGACGGGCUGAUCUUUUUCAUUGCACCACCGGACACUGUGAUUCCCAACAACUCAGACAGUUUAUAUCUGGGAGUAGUUGAUAGUAAAUCUUCAAUCAAUCAGUUCGUUGGUGUAGAGUUUGACCUUUAUCCCAAUCUUUUUGAUCCCAUCAAUAUUUUCUAUCAUAUUGGAAUCGAUGUCAACUCUUUAAUUUCAUUAAAGACCGAGACGUGGAACUGGGUGAAUGGUUCAUCCACUAAAGUAACUAUAAUAUAUGACUCUCCUUCUAACACAUUGACUGUUGUUGUCACUUAUGCAAAUGGUCAAAUUUCUACCAUUUCACAAAACAUUGAUUUAAAAGCUGUGCUCCCCAAGGAUGUUAGGCUUGGUUUUUCUUCUACUUCAAUAACUGGUGUAGCACAUGACAUCCAUUCAUGGUCAUUCACAUCACACUUGGAAAAAUCAUCAAGCAGUAUCUCAGACAUAUGAAUACUGUUGUUGCAAGCUAUGCUUACCAGCAGUUUGUAGUAAUUACCUCUACUAUUUCUAAAUAAGACCCUGCAUACUAGCAGCUUAUGUGACCUCUAUGUGUUUUCUGUUAAAAUAAAGAUCUUGUUUCAAUUA
Molecule: RNA transcript, 1009 nt
Organism: Lathyrus oleraceus (garden pea)
Lineage: Eukaryota; Viridiplantae; Streptophyta; Magnoliopsida; Fabales; Fabaceae
Gene name: non-seed lectin-like
Exons: 1
Source: RefSeq, a predicted model, not a curated record